UUAUGAGCACAGAUCAGACGUGGUGACCCGCUGAAUUUAAGCAUAUUACUAAGUGGAGGAAAAGAAACGAACCAGGAUUCCCUCACUAACUGCGGCUGAAGAGGGAAGAGCCCAGUGCUGAAUCGCCAUCUGGUGGCGGGCACAGGAAAUGUGGUGUACAGGAGACCAACUCCCCAGCGUGGCUCCGGGGGUCCUUCUGACCUAGGCUCAACCCACAGACGGUGUUAGGCCAGUAGCUGUCCCCUGCACACUGGGAUCAUGUCUUUUUGGAGUUGAGUUGCUUGUGAAUGCAGCCCAAAGCAUCUGAGACUUAAUACGGGUACGAGACCAAUAGUCAACAAGUACUGUAAGGGAAAGUUGAAAAGAACUUUGAAGAAAGAGUUGGAGUCCAUGCAGUCCACCUGGAGGAUUGUACAUGGCUGACAGGUCGGUCACCCAGAACAGCAGAUCGCUUGUGGGACCACCACCCAGGCCCACCCGGCCCCACAGGGCACAUUUCCUCCAUGGCAGUGCACCGCAACUGACUCCAGGUCGGCUGGAAAGGCUUUCGCCAGAGAGUGUUGCAGUCGCCUGGCAGCAGAUUCACCAUUUCCAUGGACCAAAGGAGAUUGAUUGCCACCGUGUCCUCUUCCGAUAACCUAUACGGUCUCUCUCAGGGGUCACCGGGGAUGCAAAGUUGGAUGAAGCCCCUGCUCCUGGUGCAACUGUCAACUAGGGUGGACUGUCCUCAGUGUGUCCCGACGGCAUUGCGCACUGGGCGUGAUGACCCACGAAGAGCACCUGGUGUGCAGGGUGAUGUAUACCCCGCAACCUAUCAUGAAACACAGACCAAGGAGUCUAAAGACCAAACAAAACCCUGUGGCGCAUGAAAGGUGAGGGCCGGCAUGCGCCAGCUGAGGUGGGAUCCCAUCAGUGUGUCACGGCGGGCCCACCACUGGCCCACUCUGUCAGGGGAGGUAGACCAUGAGCAUGUAUGAUAGGACCCAAAAGAUGGUGAACUAAUCAUGGGCAGGGUGAAGCCUGAAGAAACUCUGGUGGAGGUCCAUAGUGGUCCUGACAUGCAAAUCGGUCAACCGACCUGGGUCAAAAUACUAAUCAAACCAUCUAGUAACUGGUUCCCUCUGAAGUUUCUCUCAGGAUAGCUGAUGCUCGGAAACCCCAAUUUUAUCUGGUAAAGAAAAUGAUUAGAGGUCCUGUGGCCAAACUUGUGUGGAUAAGGCAUCGAAUGCGAGUGCUCAGUGGCCCACUUUUGGUAAGCAGAACUAGUGCUGCAGGAUGAACUGAACACCGGGUUAAGGCGGUUGAUGCUGAUGUUCAUUAGACCCCAGAAAACGUGUUGGCUAAUAUAGACAGCAGAACGGUGGCCAUGGAAGAAGGAAUCCAGUAAGGCGUGUGUAACAACUCACCCGCCAAAUUAACUAGCCGUGAAAAUGGAUCGUGCUGGAGCAUCAGGUCCAUAUACGGCCAGCACUGCCGCUGAGAGCCACGGGGGCUAAGAUGAAAUUAGUAGGAGAGCCACUGUGGUGAGCUCAGAGGCCUGGGGCGAGGGCCUGGGUGGAGCCACAGCUGGUGCAGAUCUUGGUGGUAGUAGCAAAUAUUCAAAUGAAAACUUUGAAGGCCAAAGUGAGAAGUGUUUCAUGUGAACAGCAAUUGAACAUGGGUCAGUCGGUCCUAAGAAAUGGGUGAGCACCGUUUAGAAGGGAUGGGCGAUUGCCUCUAUUGCCCUCAGCCAAUUGAAAGAGAGUCAGGUUCAGAACCCUGAACUGAGACUGGCAGAGACGGAUGCCCUUGCAGCGUCCAGUGAGGCAACGUAAAUGAUCGCAGAGAAGCCAGUGAGUGCCCCAAAGAGGGUUUUUUUCUUUGUGCAGGGCAGAGCACCCUGGAAUGGUGAGUGAAAGGAGGGGACUCUUAAAACCCUCCCCCUUAUUCCCAUGCCUCCCGAGUGGGCCCAGUCAUGGCUGCUUCAGGUCCAGGGCCCCGGCACUGGGGCACUCAUGCGGGAACACUUCCGGGAACCAUCACCCCUUUCGUACAAGUACAUCCAUGGGUGCUGCCAUAUCCCAGUGUAUACCCUCGUACUGCAAAACCAA
RNAcentral lists this ribosomal RNA (2090 nucleotides) under Ambystoma mexicanum (axolotl). Its description in RNAcentral is "eukaryotic LSU rRNA". It matches the Rfam family "Eukaryotic large subunit ribosomal RNA", at positions 1 to 1840 of the family's 3401-position model. The record is from RNAcentral. Lineage: Eukaryota; Metazoa; Chordata; Amphibia; Caudata; Ambystomatidae.